AUUGAACGCUGGCGGCAUGCCUUACACAUGCAAGUCGAACGCAGCACGGGAGCAAUCCUGGUGGCGAGUGGCGAACGGGUGAGUAAUAUAUCGGAACGUGCCCAGUCGUGGGGGAUAACGUAGCGAAAGCUACGCUAAUACCGCAUACGAUCUAUGGAUGAAAGCGGGGGAUCGCAAGACCUCGCGCGAUUGGAGCGGCCGAUAUCAGAUUAGGUAGUUGGUGAGGUAAAGGCUCACCAAGCCGACGAUCUGUAGCUGGUCUGAGAGGACGACCAGCCACACUGGGACUGAGACACGGCCCAGACUCCUACGGGAGGCAGCAGUGGGGAAUUUUGGACAAUGGGCGCAAGCCUGAUCCAGCAAUGCCGCGUGCAGGAUGAAGGCCUUCGGGUUGUAAACUGCUUUUGUACGGAACGAAACGGUGAGCUCUAAUACAGUUUGCUAAUGACGGUACCGUAAGAAUAAGCACCGGCUAACUACGUG
RNAcentral lists this ribosomal RNA (483 nucleotides) under uncultured bacterium. Its description in RNAcentral is "bacterial SSU rRNA". It matches the Rfam family "Bacterial small subunit ribosomal RNA", at positions 30 to 507 of the family's 1533-position model. The record is from RNAcentral.